CGUCCAUCUUGGCAACGCCCAGAAGCGCGACGGAAGUGACGUAACGACCGGAACUUCCGCCAUCGGCUCCCCGGCAGAGGUGCUCGCUGCUGUGAGGGGUGGAGCCUAUGCAGUCCGAGGUUUUAGUUGGUGAGACUCUAGGGUGGGCUUGGCUUCUCCGCCUCAGUGCUCAAGUACGCAAACAGGAUUUGAAUUUGAAAACACUGAGCCUGGGCCCGGCGGAAGGUACCCCCAGCGGAUUCCGACCUACGGAAGGCCGGGAGGACCAAGCUUCCAGAGGCCGCCGAAUGUGUGCCGGGCCGGGGUGCGAGGCUGUGCGGUGCCUCCUGGUUCCCUUUGAUCUCGGCGGACGGAGCCUCCCCUGGCUUCCCUGUGUCCAAACUUCGUAGUCUCCGGCUUCUUCCCUGCUCCAGGAAUCGCCCAGCUAGACUUGAAAGGGUCCAAGGCAGCCGCAGGAGGACCCUGUACCUGCUGCCGAGCCUCGGGCCUGGCCCCUUCCUCUGGGAUGGAUGGGCUUGUGCGGGAGAUAAACCUCUCCGCGCCUGUCUCCUCUUUGGCACCGCGGGGGUUACACCUGCCCAUCCCUGGAUCUGUAGUGAGGUUUAAGUGGGAAGCACCCGUAUGUGGUGCAUGUUAACCCCCGUCUUCUGAGUCUGGAGAGCUAUAACCCCGCCAGGAACAUGGGAGACAAGUUUGUUCUGGCCCAGAAAACUGCGUUUUCCCCUCACUCUUGCUCACCGACCGAAAAAGACUGUGUCCCUAACUCACGAUUUUUCUCCGUCAGUAGUCCCGUGAAUUACGGUCCUUCCCCUGCCCUACGUGUCACGUGUUGAGAAGUUUGGGGCUCAAUCACUGAAACGUUUACUGAGCACCUACUGUUCGCAGCAAACUGUUAAGACACCACGCUCCACACUGGAGAUAAACAUGAGUAAGACAUGACGUUGCACUGGAGGAGCCCCUGGACCAAAGAUGACCCCAGAGACCUACCACCGCCUAGUUUAGGGCUUAUAAAUGUAGAGAAGAGUUUUGUUAAUUCAGUCAACAUUUUCCGAGCCGCUGUACCUGCUAAAGUGCCGAGGACAGAGACUCCUCAAGAACCAGGGUUCAUCAGCUCAAAGCCACCUGGGGUCUUUGCCCUCCCCUCUUCUCUCUCUUCAAACAGGGGGUUUGAAGCCUUGUCAACAGGAAGUGAAUUCCUCCGUAUCACAUACAGUCUUCUGUUGAUUGUCUCCUUGCAAAAAGUUUAUUUAUUUUUGAGAGAGAGAGAGUGCGAGGGUCAGAGGGGCAGAGA
Molecule: long non-coding RNA, 1291 nt
Organism: Leopardus geoffroyi (Geoffroy's cat)
Lineage: Eukaryota; Metazoa; Chordata; Mammalia; Carnivora; Felidae
Exons: 3
Source: RefSeq, a predicted model, not a curated record